RNAcentral lists this ribosomal RNA (301 nucleotides) under uncultured bacterium. Its description in RNAcentral is "partial 16S ribosomal RNA". It matches the Rfam family "Bacterial small subunit ribosomal RNA", at positions 509 to 807 of the family's 1533-position model. The record is from RNAcentral.
CAGUCGCCGCGGUAAAACGAAGGGUGCAAGCGUUAAUCGGAAUUACCGGGCGUAAAGCGUGCGUAGGCGGUGAGUUAAGUCUGCUGUGAAAUCCCCGGGCUCAACCUGGGAAUGGCAGUGGAUACUGGCUCGCUAGAGUGUGUCAGAGGAUGGUGGAAUUCCCGGUGUAGCGGUGAAAUGCGUAGAGAUCGGGAGGAACAUCAGUGGCGAAGGCGGCCAUCUGGGACAACACUGACGCUGAGGCACGAAAGCGUGGGGAGCAAACAGGAUUAGAUACCCGAGUAGUCCCUGUCUCUUAUAC